This 253-nucleotide ribosomal RNA is filed under the name uncultured bacterium. Its description in RNAcentral is "partial 16S ribosomal RNA". It matches the Rfam family "Bacterial small subunit ribosomal RNA", at positions 524 to 776 of the family's 1533-position model. The record is from RNAcentral.
GACGAACCGUGCGAACGUUAUUCGGAAUCACUGGGCUUAAAGGGCGCGUAGGCGGGCAGUCAAGUCAGGGGUGAAAUCCUGGAGCUCAACUCCAGAACUGCCUUUGAUACUGACGGUCUUGAGUUCGGGAGAGGUGAGUGGAACUGCGAGUGUAGAGGUGAAAUUCGUAGAUAUUCGCAAGAACACCAGUGGCGAAGGCGGCUCACUGGCCCGAUACUGACGCUGAGGUGCGAAAGCGUGGGGAGCAAACAGG